Molecule: long non-coding RNA, 367 nt
Organism: Topomyia yanbarensis
Lineage: Eukaryota; Metazoa; Arthropoda; Insecta; Diptera; Culicidae
Exons: 2
Source: RefSeq, a predicted model, not a curated record
ACCAGUAGUCAGCUCACACCCUAAUACUAUGAAUUUACGAUUCAUGCUUCUAACACUGAUCAUUGCGCCAGCACUAUGUUCGGCAACUGAUCCUCAUUGUCCGGAAGUCAACGACCCGCUGGUGGCCAUCCAUUAUCCACAUCCAAUGGAUUGCAGUAAAUAUCUCACUUGCAAUUGGGGAAAAUUGGUCGAACAGAGCUGCCCAGCCGGAUUACUUUGGAAUGAUGUACCGAAAUACUGUGACUAUCCGCAGAAUGUUAAUUGUGAGAAAAAAUUCCUGAAUGCCAGCAUCGAAACAUUAUAUAAAAUGGAGUCUGGAUAGGAUUAUAUAAUGAUAAUACAGUAUUCCUUCAUGAGAUGGUGUAAA